GGCUGACCCGCUGCAGCCACAUCAUGUGAUGCAGAGAAAAGGAGAAGAAGGGGAUGGAUCAGCAAGGAGCAAAAGGACAAGAAGAAUAAGGGCAAGGGAGGUGGGGCGAUAUGCAUGUCCAUGGAGCGGCAGAGGGCAGCAAGUGGAGAAAGAUGAAGGCUGCACAACACCAAGACCAGCGAGGAGCAUGACGAUGCCCGAGUUCAGCCCCGUUGGAGUUAGCAUUUU
Long non-coding RNA from Triticum dicoccoides, 228 nucleotides. RefSeq lists it as uncharacterized. The record is from RefSeq and is a predicted model, not a curated record. Lineage: Eukaryota; Viridiplantae; Streptophyta; Magnoliopsida; Poales; Poaceae. The transcript has 4 exons.